This 468-nucleotide ribosomal RNA is filed under the name uncultured bacterium. RNAcentral describes it as "partial 16S ribosomal RNA". It matches the Rfam family "Bacterial small subunit ribosomal RNA", at positions 28 to 507 of the family's 1533-position model. The record is from RNAcentral.
GACGAACGCUGGCGGCGUGCUUAACACAUGCAAGUCGAACGGAAAGGCCCUGCUUUUGUGGGGUGCUCGAGUGGCGAACGGGUGAGUAACACGUGAGUAACCUGCCCUUGACUUUGGGAUAACUUCAGGAAACUGGGGCUAAUACCGGAUAGGAGCGCCUGCUGCAUGGUGGGGGUUGGAAAGUUUCGGCGGUUGGGGAUGGACUCGCGGCUUAUCAGCUUGUGUGUGGGGUAGUGGCUUACCAAGGCUUUGACGGGUAGCCGGCCUGAGAGGGUGACCGGCCACAUUGGGACUGAGAUACGGCCCAGACUCCUACGGGCGGCAGCAGUGGGGAAUAUUGCACAAUGGGCGGAAGCCUGAUGCAGCAACGCCGCGUGCGGGAUGACGGCCUUCGGGUUGUAAACCGCUUUCGCCUGUGACGAAGCGUGAGUGACGGUAAUGGGUAAAGAAGCACCGGCUAACUACGUG